UUUAUACUUCCUUCGUCUCAAAAUUCUUGUCUUAUAUUUUUUCAAAUACGGAUGUAUCUAGUUACAUUUUAGUGUUAGAUACAUCCGUAUCUAGACAAAUCUGAGACAAGAAUUUUGGGACGGAGGGAGUAUUAU
Molecule: non-coding RNA, 135 nt
Organism: Triticum urartu
Lineage: Eukaryota; Viridiplantae; Streptophyta; Magnoliopsida; Poales; Poaceae
Source: Rfam